Molecule: long non-coding RNA, 196 nt
Organism: Zingiber officinale
Lineage: Eukaryota; Viridiplantae; Streptophyta; Magnoliopsida; Zingiberales; Zingiberaceae
Exons: 3
Source: RefSeq, a predicted model, not a curated record
CAUGAAUGAGAUAAGGCAGCAGAGAUGUUCAUACUUGCGUUUGCGGCUAUGCAAAAAGGGUGAUCCCUCAGGCAUGCAUUUUAUGUCAUAUAUGGUCGAGGACAAAACGCCUGGAGGUCUCUCUUAUGUUGAGUUCCUUGUACAUGUUCACCGGCAAAUUCAAACCAAAGUGGCUUGAUCCACAGAUGUAUGCUAG